This 742-nucleotide ribosomal RNA is filed under the name uncultured bacterium. RNAcentral describes it as "bacterial SSU rRNA". It matches the Rfam family "Bacterial small subunit ribosomal RNA", at positions 54 to 805 of the family's 1533-position model. The record is from RNAcentral.
CAUGCAAGUCGAGCGGAGACAGUGAGUAGCUUGCUAUGAGCUGUUUUAGCGGCGGACGGGUGAGUAACGCGUGAGCAACCUUUCCCAGACAGGGGAAUAACACACCGAAAGGUGUACUAAUACCGCAUAAGACCACGGGAUCACAUGGCUCUGAGGUAAAAGAUUUAUCGGUUUGGGGUGGGCUCGCGUCCGAUUAGGUAGUUGGUGAGGUAACGGCCCACCAAGCCGACGAUCGGUAGCCGACCUGAGAGGGUGAUCGGCCACAUUGGGACUGAGACACGGCCCAAACUCCUACGGGAGGCAGCAGUGGGGAAUAUUGGGCAAUGGAGGAAACUCUGACCCAGCAACGCCGCGUGGAGGAAGAAGGUUUUCGGAUCGUAAACUCCUGUCCUUGGAGACGAGUAGAAGACGGUAUCCAAGGAGGAAGCCCCGGCUAACUACGUGCCAGCAGCCGCGGUAAUACGUAGGGGGCAAGCGUUGUCCGGAAUAAUUGGGCGUAAAGGGCGCGUAGGCGGCUCGGUAAGUCUGGAGUGAAAGUCCUGCUUUUAAGGUGGGAAUUGCUUUGGAUACUGUCGGGCUUGAGUGCAGGAGAGGUUAGUGGAAUUCCCAGUGUAGCGGUGAAAUGCGUAGAGAUUGGGAGGAACACCAGUGGCGAAGGCGACUAACUGGACUGUAACUGACGCUGAGGCGCGAAAGUGUGGGGAGCAAACAGGAUUAGAUACCCUGGUAGUCCACACUGUAA